UUACUACUACCUCCGUCCGAAAAUACUUAUCAUUAAAAUGGAUAAAAGAGUUAGAUGUAUUUUAGUUCUACAUACAUCUCUUUUUAUCCAUUUUGAUGAUAAGUAUUUUUGAACGGAGAGAGUAUGUA
Triticum aestivum (bread wheat) is the source of this 128-nucleotide non-coding RNA. The record is from Rfam. Lineage: Eukaryota; Viridiplantae; Streptophyta; Magnoliopsida; Poales; Poaceae.